Molecule: RNA transcript, 1111 nt
Organism: Fragaria vesca subsp. vesca
Lineage: Eukaryota; Viridiplantae; Streptophyta; Magnoliopsida; Rosales; Rosaceae
Exons: 4
Source: RefSeq, a predicted model, not a curated record
GGAAAUAACAUGGCCAAAUAGGGAAGGAAACACAUUAUAAACAUAGCACUUUGUGCUCAUAUCACUUUCGUCUUCCGAUUUCAUAUUCUAGAUCUAAAUCUAGAUGAGUGAAGAGAGAGAGUGGGGGAGGAUCACCGGACCACCCACAUCAGUACCUCCUCGUCACCACCUUCCUAUUACGAGCCCCGAAUCCCACAUACAAUCACUCUAGGAUGAGAUCGAUGGAGGAGAACCCGAGGAGGACGACAGUAUUUACCAGCGUGUUCCUCCGUUUUCCAGCCACGAUUCAGCUUGCAUGUGCCUUUUUUUUCCCAACGCCGGCGUUGAUUUCCCUCCAAGACUCGAGAGACCUUUGUUGAUGAGCUUUCGAUUUCGACUUCAGGAACUCGGAGACUGACUUGGAGCUCGUCAGAGGUAGAAGAGAGCAACUGCUCUAGGGUUCCAGUUUUGGAGUUUGAAGAUAUUUGGCUUAUGUGGUCGCUGAAUUUGCAACAAUGGCUUCUGGGAAUUUUGCAGCCGGAAUCGUCUACUGUAAAUUAGGACAAAGAGCUUAAUUGACAAAAGAAGGCCUAAGUAGUACAAGGAUGGAAGAGAAAAAUGCAGAAAGCCCAAGUCCAAAAAGGAAAGAGAAAAGUCAAACAUUUCUCCUAGUCCCACAUCAGUUUAGAAGAAGAAGUAAAUUUGGAUUUGAAGUCUAAAAAGGGCAGGAGAAAAGUAAAACUUGUGAAGCUAGUCCCACAUCAUUUUUGAAGAGAAGUUUCACCAAGAUUUUCUCUAUAUAAACACAGCCUUGUGUACUUCUCAGCCCAUCUCUUCUUCACACAAAAAUUAGUGAAACACAUUAGCCUUCCUUCUCCUUAUCAACUCCUCUCUCCAGAAAAAAAGCAAUGCAAGCUGGCACAUUUGUAGGACUUCUCCAGAAGGCUGCCGAGAAGCAUCAGGCCUGUGUGUUCCUUUGAACAUCUCAAGCUUCCUUGAAGAUUUAUAGUGUAACUCAUGUCUUGUUUCUUCUUUCUUGUUAUUGUUAUUUGUCUUCUUUUAUUAGAUUUCAAAGUUGGAAUUGGCUGGUUGUUAAGAACAUGAAUAGGUUAAUUUCAGAAUAAAUUUAAGC